This is a long non-coding RNA of Onychomys torridus (southern grasshopper mouse), 331 nucleotides long. RefSeq lists it as uncharacterized. The record is from RefSeq and is a predicted model, not a curated record. Lineage: Eukaryota; Metazoa; Chordata; Mammalia; Rodentia; Cricetidae. The transcript is spliced from 3 exons.
CAAUGAUGGAUAUUUUUAAUACCCAUGUUGGGAUUCUGAGAAGAUUCCAUUGCGUCAAGAAUCAGAGGAAAAGGGAGGAUGAUUAUCCUAGGAAGUGAAUUACAGACAUAGAAACAGCACACGAGAGACAUGAAGAGAGGGUGGCUCACAAAGAAAAUAUACAAAGAAUCUAAAAGCUGGUUCUGUGAGAAGAAACAAGUUCUAAAGAGCCCUGGCUCACCUGACCCAAAGAAAGAACAAAAGAGAAGACUCAGAAUUGACAGAAUCAUAUUGAAUUCCAGCUCCAGCUCGGUUGUAUACCAGAGACUCUAGGAAUCUUCUAGAACUUCAG